GCUCAAGCGACGAUGGGUAGCCGACCUGAGAGGGUGAUCGGCCACACUGGAACUGAGACACGGUCCAGACUCCUACGGGAGGCAGCAGUGGGGAAUAUUGCACAAUGGGCGAAAGCCUGAUGCAGCAACGCCGCGUGAGCGAUGAAGGCCUUCGGGUCGUAAAGCUCUGUCCUAAGGGAAGAUAAUGACGGUACCUUAGGAGGAAGCCCCGGCUAACUACGUGCCAGCAGCCGCGGUAAUACGUAGGGGGCAAGCGUUAUCCGGAAUCACUGGGCGUAAGGGGUGCGUAGGCGGCUGAUAAAGUCCGAGGUGAAAGGCUACGGCUUAACCGUAGUAAGCCUUGGAAACUUAUCAGCUUGAGUACAGGAGAGGAAAGUGGAAUUCCUAGUGUAGCGGUGAAAUGCGUAGAUAUUAGGAGGAACACCAGUGGCGAAGGCGACUUUCUGGACUGUUACUGACGCUGAGGCACGAAAGCGUGGGGAGCGAACAGGAUUAGAUACCCUGGUAGUCCACGCCGUAAACAAUGGAUGCUAGUUGGUCGGAG
RNAcentral lists this ribosomal RNA (544 nucleotides) under uncultured low G+C Gram-positive bacterium. RNAcentral describes it as "bacterial SSU rRNA". It matches the Rfam family "Bacterial small subunit ribosomal RNA", at positions 267 to 829 of the family's 1533-position model. The record is from RNAcentral. Lineage: Bacteria; Bacillati; Bacillota.